Molecule: long non-coding RNA, 3891 nt
Filed under: Capsicum annuum
Lineage: Eukaryota; Viridiplantae; Streptophyta; Magnoliopsida; Solanales; Solanaceae
Description: long non-coding RNA (CANN_LNC008833)
Source: RNAcentral
UCACAACCCACAAAAAUCGGCUGAGCUAAAAAUAGGCUGAAAUAAUGGCAUGCAACUUUGAUUUUUUCAACUUUAGAUGAUUUUGAAUUGACGUCAUCUUCUUCUUCACUUCAUCUUUAAUUUACAAGCUACUACUCUAAGAUUUUUGAAUUGAAGUGAUCUUCUUCUUCACUUUAUUUUCAAUUUACAAGUUUCUACUCUUUUUUCAAUCUCAUCUAUUUUUGUGAAAAUAAAUUUAAUCACCUCAACGACCCCGCAAUGAUAAAGAAGUUACAAAAGAAAUUGAUCGAAACAUAAAAAUAAAUCAAUGACGUCAUCUUCAAAAACAAAAUCUAAAGAGAACACAUCACGAUGGCCUUCACCAAAGGUAUGCCAAAAAGUAUCAUUAGUUCUAUUGUGCUUCUGAUAAUUUGAAAUGACAAAUCGUAUUCCAAAUCUCCUAGUCAAUUAUGUAUCAUCAACUGAUUUGUGCAUUAUGAUACAUUACAUUUAUGUAUGAGAUCACACCAUAGCCAUAUGGAUUGAUUGGCAUGACAAAAAAAUACAUUUUUAUUUAUAUAUCAAAUCUUAUCAUUGUCGUUCAGAUACAUAAUAGUUGAAAAGAUACAUAUAAUUUAUUUAUCAGUUCACCUCAAAUGCUUUGCAGAUACAUACAUAAAAAAAAAGAUACAUGACAUUUAUGUACCUUUUCUUAGAAAGAUACAUAUCCUAUGUUAUACUAUGUUAUACAAAGGGGGUCCUCCUAUUACCCCCUGAACUAGAUUUUAGCGUAUUUUUAUCAAUCUUUUUAGCUGAUGUGACACCUUUGACAUGAGCCUCAUUUUAUAUAAUAAAGGUGCCAAAUCAACAUAAAAAGGUAAAAAAAAUAUGUUAAAAUUGAGCUCAGAGGGUAAUAGGGUCCCUGUCAAGUUGGAGUGUGUCGUAGCAACUCUGAUCAUAGUUCGGGAGGUACUAGAUGUUUAUCUCUUUUUGUUAAUUACAAUUUUUAAUGUUUGCAGGGCAUGGAAUGUUCAUUGUGAUUACAUAAUAAGAUUCAAAAAAGUGAAAAACACAGAUUGUGAAUUUUGUUAGAAUUCGAACAAAUUAGCUUGAUUCUAUAUAAGAAAUUUGAUUCUGCAUUCUGUUUCUGUUUUUAAGGGGUGAAACAACCAUAUUCCAAUCACUAUUUCGUUAAUUGCUCCUUGAAUAGUACUAGUUUAGUUAGUUGUUGUUUUUAAAAUUCUUUUUUUUUUUAAAAUGUUUCUUCAGCAAAUUUAUCUUUACACAUUUAUGUAUUAGGUGAGCAUAAAAGAAGGAGUUUUCUGUAAUUAUGAUAAAUAUCAAUUUUUUUUUGUAAUUAUGAUAGAUAUCAAAAUUUUCUGUAAUUAUGGCUCAAACUAUCGGUAUUUAUGAAAUUGCCCAAAAUUUUCAUUUUAUCCUUGCAAAUGAAAUUCCUUUUUAAGUGUAUACAAAUUAUAAAUUUUUUAAAAAAUUUCGUAACGGUUACAUUAGUAAAAUUAUUCUUCUUAUUUAUGAUUUCUUAAGGACGUGUAAAGGAUAAAGUGAACAACUAAUAUGAUAAUUUAAAAUCAUAAAAUUAAAAAAAAAAUUUCUUAUCAAAUUAAAAUACUUAAAUAGAGAUGGAAGGUGUACAAUAUCAAAGACUAAAGAUACACCAAUCAUUAUGAUCCAUACAACUUAAGGGGUUGUUUGACUGGGAAAUAAGUUAUCCAGAAUUACUAAUCUCAAAUUAGCUAUUCCACCUCCAAGAAGGAAUAAAAAUAACACUACGAUCCUGAGACUGCUAAUUCCGGAGUAAAUUUUCCAAUGACUUUUACCCCAAUCAAAUAUGAGACAAGUUCAUCUUCAAAAUAAUUUCAAAAUUAGUUAUCAUUUAUUCCUCCUAUCAAACGAUCCCUAAAAGCAAAAAAAAAACUGAGUGCCAAAACAACAAAAACAAAAAGGUAGAAUUUAAAAGAAAAAAGAAAGAAAAGAAAAAAAAAAGCCACGUGAAGCAACAUUAAUGCAGGAAUGACACAAGGGUGAGACUAGUAAAGCCUUUUCUUUAGGCCCUCAAAAUUUCAAGGCCUAAAAAAUUUUUGGUCUUAAUUUUAUUUUAUUUUCUUUUUGACGAUAUUAAAUAUAGUAAAAAAAAAAAACAAUCUAUCAUUCAAUAGAAAUGUUUUGAAACUUUAAAAUUUUUUAUAAUGAUAAAUAAUAUAUUUACAAAACCAUUCAAGGUAAUGUAUUGAGAACACAUGAUUUAACAUCUUAUUAACUUGAAUCAACCAUUACUAUUAUAAAGAAAAAUAUUAUUAUGUGAAAUAUAAUACUAUAAUAAAAACAAUUAUAAAAAAUUAAGAAAAAUGCAAUAUUAAAUUUUUAUUUAUUAUGUAUAUGUAUAUUUUUAAGACAUUAGAUUAAAAUUUAAUUUUUACACUACUAAUUUAUUGAGACGUCCUUACAAUAAAGAAUGAAAAAUUUUGUGAAGACUAUCAAAACUUUAUAACUUCCUUAUAUAUAAAUAUAGUAAUAUAAUAUGCUGAAUAAUAGUCAUUGUAUGUUGGUGUUUUUGGGUAAAAGACAUUGGUCAACAUUAAAACCGAGUAUUGUUCAACAUUAUAGCGUAAUGGAUAGACUUUCCUCUUUUAAACACUUAGGAAAGCCAUAGAGUUUUUUUUCUUUUUACUCUUCUAGCAAGUGAUGGAUUGUAGCAUAGCCAAUACUUGCGUAUUGCACCCCUCUUGUUAUUUAAAGACAUUUAAAAUUUUGAGAAUAUGAAUAUACUAUUAUAAAAAGAAUUUUGAGAAUAUGAAUAUAUUAUUAUAAAAAUAUUUGACAGAAGCUUUAAUGUAGUGAGCUGCUCUUUUAUCUAUUUUACUUUAUGCAUGUAAGUAUAUUGUACUCGAUAUGAUUUUUUAUUUUUUAUUUUCCACCUGGCGUUCGAUACUCGAAUUGGAGCCCCGACUAAUUUAAAUCGCACAUUGUAAGAGCCAUUAUAGGGUAGCGCUCCAUACCCAGAGCUCGAACUCGAGACCUCUGAUUAAGGGUGGAACAAUCCCACUACUGCACGACAACCCAUGUUGGUUACUCGAUAUGAUUUCUAAUAACUCAUAGAUUAUAUGUUUGGUCUCUCAAAAGUUGUGUCUUGCAAUCAAUUUUUGUUGUUUUAUAUACUGCACUUGCAUAGUAGUUGUUAGUCCCAUAUUCUCACUAUAUGUUUUAAUAAAGACAAACUAAUAAACAAAUAUCUUGCAGGAUAUAUUGAAGAUAUAGAAGAUCAAAAAGAUCCUUGAGGAAUCCAUCAGAAGAUCCCAGAAAGGAAGCAAGGAUUCACUCACAAGAAAGCCGAAUGAUAUCAAUCACAGAGAUCAUCGACUUCCCAGAUUUAUGACAAAUGAAUCAAUCAAGACAAAACCAAAAGGAAAGAAGAUCACACCAUCUACAUGAAAAUAUCUAAUAUGGACAUGUACAAUUGUGAAGGCUGCACCACAUACGGAUAUAUCUGAUAUGGACAUACUUUACGGUGCAAUCCCUCAAUCAAGAAAUUAUUUUUAAAUCCUUGAUUGAGAAGAAAUCUCUUGGGUUUCCUUACAAAGAAUAGCACCUGAAGAUUAUACAAGAAGAAAACUGAAGAUCAAAGCACGUACGCAACUUCAAGAAAGAAUCUCAGAGUGUCUUAAUUUUAGUCUCACAAAGUUUUAUACUUCUUAGUUUACAAUAGUUAUACAAGAAUAAGAUCGAGUCAACUUUGUAAUACAAACUGACGCUGUGUCACAAGUCUGAAAAGCAAAAUAAGUUUUCAGAAUUUGUUUACCACCAUUGUACUCGGGCUCCACUUUGUAAAGAUUUAAAGAAACACUGUAACCUAAGGGGACUGGAAGUAGGCACCACAUUGGUGUUUUGAACCAG